RNAcentral lists this ribosomal RNA (957 nucleotides) under uncultured bacterium. RNAcentral's name for it is "bacterial SSU rRNA". It matches the Rfam family "Bacterial small subunit ribosomal RNA", at positions 8 to 941 of the family's 1533-position model. The record is from RNAcentral.
AGAGUUUGAUCAUGGCUCAGGAUGAACGCUAGCGACAGGCCUAACACAUGCAAGUCGAGGGGCAUCGGGACGUAGCAAUACGUUGCCGGCAACCGGCGGAUGGGUGAGUAACGCGUAUGCAACCUACCCGUAGCAGGGGGAUAGCCCGUUGAAAGACGGAUUAAUACCCCGUAACACAGGGGCUCCGCAUGGAGAUUAUUGUUAAAGGGUCAUUUCUUUUAGAGGUGGUCCGGCUGCGGAUGGGCAUGCGUUCCAUUAGGUAGUUGGUGUAGGUAACGGCUCACCAAGCCGACGAUGGAUAGGGGAACUGAGAGGUUGGUCCCCCACACUGGUACUGAGACACGGACCAGACUCCUACGGGAGGCAGCAGUGAGGAAUCUUGGUCAAUGGACGGAAGUCUGAACCAGCCAUGUCGCGUGAAGGAGGACGGCCCUAAGGGUUGUAAACUUCUUUUGCAGGGGAAUAAAGUAUUCCACGAGAUGGGAUAUUGCAAGUACGCUGCGAAUAAGGAUCGGCUAACUCCGUGCCAGCAGCCGCGGUAAUACGGAGGAUCCGAGCGUUAUCCGGAUUUAUUGGGUUUAAAGGGUGCGCAGGCGGGAAGUUAGGUCGGCGGUGAAAUUUCGGGGCUCAACCCCGAGAGUGCCGUUGAAACCGGUUUUCUUGAGUGCGGAUGAGGUAGGCGGAAUUUGUGGUGUAUCGGUGAAAUGCGUAGAUAUCACAAGGAACACCGAUUGCGGAGGCAGCUUACUAAACCGUUACUGACGCUCAUGCACGAAGGCGUGGGGAUCAAACAGGAUUAGAUACCCUGGUAGUCCACGCAGUAAACGAUGAUUACUAGCUGUUUGCGAUACAGUGUAAGCGGCUUAGCGAAAGCGUUAAGUAAUCCACCUGGGGAGUACGUUUGCAAGAAUGAAACUCAAAGGAAUUGACGGGGGCCCGCACAAGCGGAGGAACAUG